GAACGAAAUCCAACAGCACAGCUAGAAAGAGCAUCUUGGAAUGAGUAAAACUGCAAAGAUUGGUUGCGAAAUGUUGUGAAAUGAAGAAAAUAUAGUCCUGUGAAGUUCGCAAAUUUUGUAUAUAUUUGUAUUACGCGCGGUAAAAAUAAUCACUUUCGGCUCAAAAAUGCGCGUAAUACAAAUAUAUACAAAAUUUGCGAACUUCACAGGACUAUAUUUUCCUCAUUUUACAACAUUUCGCAACCAAACUUUGCAAUUUUACUCAUUUUAAGAUGCUCUUUCUAGGUGAGGUGUUGGAUUUCGUUC
Molecule: non-coding RNA, 306 nt
Organism: Paramuricea clavata
Lineage: Eukaryota; Metazoa; Cnidaria; Anthozoa; Malacalcyonacea; Plexauridae
Source: the annotation of a GenBank genome assembly